GCCAGCAUGGUAUAGUGGUUUGAGUGCUGGACUAGGACUCUGGGAGACCAAGGUUCAAAUCCCUGCUCAGUCA
RNAcentral lists this transfer RNA (73 nucleotides) under Phrynosoma platyrhinos (Desert horned lizard). RNAcentral describes it as "tRNA-OTHER". The record is from RNAcentral. Lineage: Eukaryota; Metazoa; Chordata; Lepidosauria; Squamata; Phrynosomatidae.